This 1592-nucleotide ribosomal RNA is filed under the name Aporocotylidae sp. ex_P_pectinata. Its description in RNAcentral is "partial large subunit ribosomal RNA". It matches the Rfam family "Eukaryotic large subunit ribosomal RNA", at positions 82 to 1278 of the family's 3401-position model. Lineage: Eukaryota; Metazoa; Platyhelminthes; Trematoda; Strigeidida; Aporocotylidae. The record is from RNAcentral.
AGUAACGGCGAGUGAAGAGGAAUUAGCCCAGCACCGAAGCUUGCAAUUAUUUGAUUGUUAAGCAAUGUGGUGUUAAGGUGUGUCUUUUGCGUACUGCUCUAUCCUAAGUCCAAUUAUGAGUAUGGCAAUUGGAUUGGCCCAAAGAGGGUGUUAGGCCCGUUUGGAUAGAGAUCAGGCAAGCCAGUAUUAGCUCAAGACAAACCUUGGAGUCGGGUUGUUUGUGAAUGCAGCCCAAAGUAGGUGAUAAACUUCAUCUAAGGCUAAAUACUAACACGAGUCCGAUAGCGAACAAGUACCUUGAGGGAAAGUUGAAAAGUACUUUGAAGAGAGAGUAAACAGUACGUGAAACCGUUUAGAGGUAAACAAGUGGAGCUGAACUGGAAGCCUUGAGAAUUCAGCUGAUGAGUAUGGUGUGUUGGCUGGCGCUUGGAGUCUGCUUAGCUGCAGGUUUUUACUUUUAAAGUGAAAAUUGGCGAUUCGUGUAACAGACGGUGCCUGCUCUAAAGUGUAACUAGUCAGCUUGUCAGUGCACUUUCUUUAGGUGUUCACCACAACCGGCGCAGUUGUCUAUUUGUUAUGAUUGAAUCGGCUUGGUUUGGUACUUGUACUGGGCUUGGUCGACAAGGCAGGUGGCUUGUUUGUAUUGGUUGUUUAAUUUAAUGUUGAACAAUCAAUGCUUGUGAGUUUAAUCAGCCAAUCAUAAUGUUGGAUUUGUGCAAUGUGUCGGGGGCGACGGGUUUUAACAGGGGUGUCAUAGUUGAUGGGGGUGAUUAGAUUUGGUUGACGUUUUACUUGCUUAACUGUUGGGUGCGUUAACAAUCUAAUUGUUCACAUUGAUGGUGAUGCCAAUUGCAACUUGUUAAGGCCGAAAGUUUGUGGUGUUGUGGUAGGUCAUCCACUUGACCCGUCUUGAAACACGGACCAAGGAGUUUAACAUGCGUGCAAGUCAUUGGGUGUUACGAAACCCACAGGCGCAGUGAAAGUGAAGGUUUUGAGCUGAGGUGUGAUCUUGUUGCUUGUUGUUGCAUGUGUUUGUGCACAUGUGUAUGCAUGCAGGGGCGCAACACCGGCCUGUCUUAUAAUGUGUUUCAUUGGGGCGGAGCUUGAGCAUGCAUGUUGAGACCCGAAAGAUGGUGAGCUAUACUUGCGGAGGCUGAAGUCGGGGGAAAUUCUGAUGGAAGGCUGAAGCGAUUCUGACGUGCAAAUCGAUCGUCUAACGUGAGUAUAGGGGCGAAAGACUAAUCGAACCAUCUAGUAGCUGGUUCCCUCUGAAGUUUCCCUCAGGAUAGCUGGUGUUCAAAAGGAAGUAAACAGUUUUAUCCGGUAAAGCGAAUGAUUAGAGGCAUUGGGGAUAAAAUGUCCUCAACCUAUUCUCAAACUAUAAAUGGGUGAGAAGCUGUGCUCGCUUAAAUGGAGUGCAGCGUUGAAUGUGAAUGCCAAGUGGGCCAAUUUUGGUAAGCAGAACUGGCGCUGUGGGAUGAACCAAACGUUCGGUUAAGGUGCCUAAUGUAACGCUCAUGAGACCCCACGAAAGGUGUUGGUUGAUCUAGACAGCAGGACGGUGGCCAUGGAAGUUGGAAUUCGCUAAGGAG